GCCAGCUUGUCGACUCUCUAAUCCUUGGCCGCGCUUCUCUCAGUGUGCAAGUGGAGCUGUCUCUGGCAGGUGUUCUGUCCUCUGUCCCAUCUUUACACGUCUGCUUUUUCGACUGUCACGCAAUUUCGUUUUAUACUCCAGAAAGUGAGAGAUUAACUUCAAGGAAGCGCAAAUUCACGGCCAUACACGAAAAUGAUGAUGCAGUGGACAAGUGUUGUGGUGUUGGUAACACUGGUGUCGGUGACCUCGGCCCUAAAAUGUUACCACUGCAACGACUGUGGUAACUCUAGAGGAACAGUUAUUGAUUGUGGUGAAGAUGCCGAUGUUUGCAUGAAAAUUGAUUUUGCUGGCCGUAUAGCGAAGAUUUGUGGACAAAAUAGAGUUUGCAAACUGAAAGAAAUUGAACAUGGUGCUGUCAAUGCUUGGAAUUCUGUGAAGAAUUGGUUUAGCAAUACAGGCAAG
Procambarus clarkii (red swamp crayfish) is the source of this 462-nucleotide non-coding RNA. The record is from RefSeq and is a predicted model, not a curated record. NCBI's taxonomy places the organism in Eukaryota, Metazoa, Arthropoda, Malacostraca, Decapoda, Cambaridae.